Molecule: long non-coding RNA, 206 nt
Filed under: Linum usitatissimum (flax)
Lineage: Eukaryota; Viridiplantae; Streptophyta; Magnoliopsida; Malpighiales; Linaceae
Description: long non-coding RNA (LUSI_LNC007719)
Source: RNAcentral
UUUGGUCACAUUUUCCUCCUUUGUUCUUAGUUCAAGUACUUUGACAGCUACUCCUCUUUUUCUGCUUUACAAGAAAGAUUCCCAUUUCUUUCAAAUUGGAUAGUGGAUUUUGGAACCCUUUUUCUUAGAUUAGCCACUUUUGUUAUGAGAAAGAACCAGAUGAACUUAAUAAGAAGGAUUAGCCAUAAUGGUUCAAUUGAUGGUAC